Long non-coding RNA from Brassica napus (rape), 2043 nucleotides. RefSeq lists it as uncharacterized. The transcript is spliced from 4 exons. Lineage: Eukaryota; Viridiplantae; Streptophyta; Magnoliopsida; Brassicales; Brassicaceae. The record is from RefSeq and is a predicted model, not a curated record.
UGUAAUUGGUUGCAAAUUUCAAUUGACAUUAAAUUUUAUAUAGAAAUUUGAGAACAUCACUUAUUAUGAAACAAAAUAAAAAUGUUUAAACAUCAUUUAAAAUGGUACGAAGGAAGUAAUAAAAAAUAUUGGGAAGCGUAGAAAUUAAGUGUAUGGUUUACCUUUUCUGGUUCCUAAAGAGACCGGUGAAAACUGGCGGUUGCGAUUUACGAACUUACGAGGACAUCGACAUGUUAUUAAGAUCAAAUACCAAUGUAAUAAAUGCAAAUAAAUGACACUGUUUUGUGUUGCGAUCAAUUAGAGUGUGACUGAAUAGUCAUUUUGGAGUAAAUAUUCUAGAGUAAAAUUGUUUUACUCUAUUUCGUGCUUAAUAUUUACCAAUCAGGUUGAAAAGUAGUGGUAGAAAUUAUUUCACUAGCUUUGAGUGGAGUAAACAUUUACUCUCAUUUCUUCUUUGUCUGUUCAUUUUCUUUCUUCCAUGUUUUGUUCCUCUUAAUUACGCCGACAAUUUACAAUCACACGUUAUAAAUUAGAGAUCUCAUACUUUCACGGGAUUAAAUUUCCGAUCGCAUAUACAUGACAUCACGACUUGCCCUGGAAAUAUCUUGACUAGUUUUUUUUUCUUUUUUCUUGACUAGUUGUUUAUUGGGUUAAUUUGCAAAGUGACAAUAUUGGAAAAAAUAUUAGUUUUGUAGUAAGAGGAUAGAGAGAAGUAAAAAAAAAAAAAAAGAGAAAAAAGAUACUAAUAUGGUUAGUCGGUGAAAUAUAGAUUUUUUUUUGGUUAUAUGCUCAAAGUUCCCCUCUUUUUAUUUCUCUGUCGUCGUUAUUUACUUAUCAAUGGAGUUCAAAUAAUUGGGGGAGGUGUGAUGAUGAUUAGAGAAUGAAGAAACCCAAACUGGAAGUCAAAUCGGACAAAAGUACUGAUGGGGCCAACGCCAUAACUGAGAGACACUACGUUGAUUCGUUGAAGGAUAAACUUGUCAAUUACAUCUACUUUCCUAAGCCUGAAUUAAUAGUCCCACGUGGGGUCUAGUUCACGUGAACUUCACAUGCCUUUCAUGCCUCUUUGGUCAUUCUAUGGAUCCCAUUUUUACUCUCUUGUUGUUUUCCUUUUAAUUGACAAGCUUCGUGGAAAAUGUUUUUUGAUUGUUUCGUACCGUUCUAUCCUUCUUUGAGCAUGCGCAGUGGUCUGUAUAUAAGAGAGUUUCUAAACAAAAAUAAUAAGAAAAAGAAAAGUAUGGGAGAGGGAGUAGAAACAGAGAGAAACGUCUUUUCUUGAAGAAACGUCUUUUCUUGAAGAAACGUUCACCGAACUUUGAGUAGUGGGAAGGUACCCUUCACGACGUACUCUUCACUAAUGAUGUCCUUAGCUUCCUAAUGGUAAUUGAGGAUUGAACGGUAGGGGACAAGCGGUUCAACUGCGGUGCGAUUCUAACAGUUAUAUAGUACUGUUAACUGCGGUGCGAGGCAGAAAGCGGUUAAUCGCAUGUGCCAGCUCAGACGGUCACAUGAUAAAGACACGUGGGACCACACCCCGAACCGAACCCAUUUCCGAGCCACUUUGAUUAUUUUUGGAAAUGCACGUAGCCGCAUGUGCGAGGGAUUCUGUCAGCAGUGCACGAUGUUGGUUCCUCCAACUUUCAUCAGACGGCUGUGACUGGUUGUCUCACUGGCAGUACUAUAUGGGAAGUCAUCGAAUUUAGGGCGAUUUAUUAUUUGACAGUUGAGGAGAUGAAGCGUUAUGGGGCAAAACGAGGGGGACACACGUGUGCUUCGCUGUCUUAUGAUUCGGAAUCGAGUGUAGAACUUCGAGCUCCACGUCCCUUCCACGUGAAGGUGGUGACGCUCGAACCAACUUGCUUUUAGUUUUCGACCCCUUCCUGUCCUUUUUACAUUAAUGUUCUUUCUUUAUCGAUCCCUUCGUGGUUUGCCCAUGUUUAUUUUUAUAUACUAUUAGUACAUGAGAACCCAUCUUAAACUCUUUGAAAUACUUGUGCAAAAGUGUUAUCAAAUGUAAUAACGUAUAUUUGAUGCGUUGCUAUA